ACUAGAAGCUCUUGGGAGCAUGUGGACAGUUGUGGCUGCUCCUGAGCUGACACUAACUGCUCAUGACUCCUCUGUGGGAGAAGUAGGUGGUUUCCUAGAGGAAGAAGUUUGGGUAAUGAAGCCACAGAGAUUUGCUGAUACAUUUGCUAGGCACGACUUCUGGUCAUUUAGAAAGCUAUUUUGUGGCUUCAUCAAUAAGGUAUUCCCCAGCUGUGUUACUCCUUCGCAUUGUUAUCUCUUUCCCUGGAAUUGAAGGCUUCCUGGUCUGAGGCAAGGACAAUUAUUCCCUCACUGUCAACCCUGAUCUCUGGCUGCAGUAAUGAGUAGAGGAAAUGAAGAAAUAAGAAUGGAAGCAUAAUCAUUUGUCCGAGGUCACAGAGGGAGAUGAUUACACAGCUGGAAUAAACUCUCCUCCUUCAAUACCUGACUACUUGCACCAUCCAGCAGAUAUCCUCUACUACCAAGUCUCAACAGAUGGUUCAGCUGGUCUUUAAUGAACAAAAGGCAUUUGUGUAAUGGACUCUUAUUGCUCAAGAAGAAUUUCUUCCUUCCUGAAACAUGAGGAGAAACUGACAAAAACUGUCUCCUUGACCAAACCCUAGUCAGUUGCCUAUAAGCCCUGUAGGCUGUGACCUUAGUGUCUAUCCUUAUCAGACACGCAUUACACAACCAUAGCAACAGUCUUGCUAAGUUGGUUUAACCAGAACCCCUACCCUUGAUAUCUGAUUUAAUUUAUAAUUCCCCUGAGUCCCCGAGGUGACAUCCAUUCAUCCUGGCCAGCUUUCAAUAAGAAUCCUAUUGGAUUAUUUAGCUAGAAAUCACCCCUUACACUUAAUGCUUCCUUUUAGUAAUUUUGCAUCCACUAACCCCGACCUUGCUCGUUGGCUAUAAAUCCACAAGUUGUCCGUGUUGUGUUUGGAAUUGAUUACAAUUCUAUAUUGAGGUCUCUUUUCCCAUAUUGCAAUAGUUCCUGAUUAAAAUCUGCUUUUGCCCAUUGAUAUGGUUUGGUUGUGUACCCACUCAAAUCUCAUCUUGAAUUGUAGCUCCCAUGAUUCCCAUAAUUGAAUCAUGGCAGCAGUUUACCCCAUACUGUUCUUGUGGUAGUGAAUAAGUCUCAUGAGAUCUGAUGGUUUUAUAAGGGGUUUCCACUUUCACUUGAUUCUGACUCUCUUUUGUUUGCCGCUAUGUAAGACAUGCCUUUCACCUUCUGCCAUAAUUGUGAAGCCUCCCCAGCCACAUGGAACUGUGAGUCCGUUAAACCUCAUUUUCUUUAUAUAUAAAUUACCCAGUCUCAGGUAUGUCUUUAUCAGCAGCAUGAAAAUGGACUAAUACACUCCUUUAACUGUGUAGCUCUGGUGUUCUUUGAUGAGCUAGAAACUGUAAAUCUCUGGAAGUCAAAUCUUCAUUUGAACUGGUUGUUAUAUAUUAUUGAUUCUCUCAAUUAUUUAGUUAAAUAAAAGUCUUGACAUGUUAAA
RNAcentral lists this long non-coding RNA (1475 nucleotides) under Homo sapiens (human). RNAcentral describes it as "long independently transcribed non-coding RNA 973, transcript variant 9 (LINC00973)". Lineage: Eukaryota; Metazoa; Chordata; Mammalia; Primates; Hominidae. The record is from RNAcentral.